GAUCGACGAAGAACGCAGCGAAGUGCGAUAAGUAAAUGUGAAUUGCAGAAUUCAGUGAAUCAUCGAAUCUUUGAACGCACAUUGCGCCCUCUGGUAUUCCGGGGGGGCAUGCCUGUUCGAGCGUCAUUACAACCCUCAAGCUCUGCUUGGUAUUGGGCCUCGCCGGUUCCGGCGGGCCUCAAAGUCAGUGGCGGUGCCAUCCGGCUUCAAGCGUAGUAACACUCUCGCUUCUGGAGACCCGGGUGCGUGCUCGCCAGCAACCCCAACUUUCUAAGGUUGACCUCGGAUCAGGUAGGGAUACCCGCUGAACUUAA
This 314-nucleotide ribosomal RNA is filed under the name uncultured fungus. Its description in RNAcentral is "eukaryotic LSU rRNA". The stretch from base 2 to 126 matches the Rfam family "5.8S ribosomal RNA", at positions 32 to 154 of the family's 154-position model. The record is from RNAcentral. Lineage: Eukaryota; Fungi.